Long non-coding RNA from Mobula hypostoma (lesser devil ray), 728 nucleotides. RefSeq lists it as uncharacterized. NCBI's taxonomy places the organism in Eukaryota, Metazoa, Chordata, Chondrichthyes, Myliobatiformes, Myliobatidae. The record is from RefSeq and is a predicted model, not a curated record. The transcript has 3 exons.
UGCCGUGGUUACGGAGCGGCUGGAGAAGAAGCGGCGGCGGUAUGCCGGGUGGUGGGCCUUGCACAGCCAUAGUUCUGUACUAUUUUCGGAAAGCGACAUGAAAGGUGCCUCAUUUAGUGAGGGAGAAUAUAACUACAGCUGCGAAGAUCCCUGCUGUACCCUGUGAUCCUGUGAUCUCUGUCUUGGAGGCUGAUGGUAUGCUGUCUUUAAGGACACCCUUGCAAGGUGGCAGGCCCCAGUGGAGUACCUGCAUAAACAGACAUGAAGUUACACGCCGUGAAGGACACUGCCAGUGCCAUUUAAAGUGAUCAUGAGCUACUUAAAGGAUUGUUGCUCAUAUAUUUAUCUUGGUUGCUGCUGUUAUGGCUGCAAAUAGCAUUCACUAUUAAUUUUGAGCUGUGAAGCUGACAAUUUAAGGAUUUUAGGAAUGUGUAUUUUAGUAUGAAAUUUCUAAACUUGUCAGUGAUUUGGCUUCAUAUAGUAGGCAUCUAUGCUACAAUCUUCAAUCGCUAAAAGUUAUGAGAAUUUAGCUAACUAGAUUAAGAUAGCUUUAGUAUAUAUUACUGAAUAGAUAAUUUUAGUUUUGAGUUUACAGUGACGUACUAAGCAUUCAUUUCAGCUUAUUUACAUCGAGGACAUUUACUGUACAUCUAAGAAAAUUUACUUUAUCUGGAUGUAUUGUAAUUUGCUUUAUUUCCUAAAUUGCUAAAUAAAAGGAUCUUAAAUAA